GCCGACGUAGCUCAGGGGUAGAGCAGUCGACUUGUAAUCGGCAGGUCGUGGGUUCAAAUCCCACCGUCGGCUCCA
Molecule: transfer RNA, 75 nt
Filed under: Clostridia bacterium
Lineage: Bacteria; Bacillati; Bacillota; Clostridia
Description: tRNA-Thr
Rfam family: tRNA
About the family: Transfer RNA (tRNA) molecules are approximately 80 nucleotides in length. Their secondary structure includes four short double-helical elements and three loops (D, anti-codon, and T loops).
Source: RNAcentral